RNAcentral lists this ribosomal RNA (1286 nucleotides) under Staphylococcus epidermidis. RNAcentral's name for it is "bacterial SSU rRNA". It matches the Rfam family "Bacterial small subunit ribosomal RNA", at positions 63 to 1330 of the family's 1533-position model. Lineage: Bacteria; Bacillati; Bacillota; Bacilli; Caryophanales; Staphylococcaceae. The record is from RNAcentral.
CGAGCGAACAGACGAGGAGCUUGCUCCUCUGACGUUAGCGGCGGACGGGUGAGUAACACGUGGAUAACCUACCUAUAAGACUGGGAUAACUUCGGGAAACCGGAGCUAAUACCGGAUAAUAUAUUGAACCGCAUGGUUCAAUAGUGAAAGACGGUUUUGCUGUCACUUAUAGAUGGAUCCGCGCCGCAUUAGCUAGUUGGUAAGGUAACGGCUUACCAAGGCAACGAUGCGUAGCCGACCUGAGAGGGUGAUCGGCCACACUGGAACUGAGACACGGUCCAGACUCCUACGGGAGGCAGCAGUAGGGAAUCUUCCGCAAUGGGCGAAAGCCUGACGGAGCAACGCCGCGUGAGUGAUGAAGGUCUUCGGAUCGUAAAACUCUGUUAUUAGGGAAGAACAAAUGUGUAAGUAACUAUGCACGUCUUGACGGUACCUAAUCAGAAAGCCACGGCUAACUACGUGCCAGCAGCCGCGGUAAUACGUAGGUGGCAAGCGUUAUCCGGAAUUAUUGGGCGUAAAGCGCGCGUAGGCGGUUUUUUAAGUCUGAUGUGAAAGCCCACGGCUCAACCGUGGAGGGUCAUUGGAAACUGGAAAACUUGAGUGCAGAAGAGGAAAGUGGAAUUCCAUGUGUAGCGGUGAAAUGCGCAGAGAUAUGGAGGAACACCAGUGGCGAAGGCGACUUUCUGGUCUGUAACUGACGCUGAUGUGCGAAAGCGUGGGGAUCAAACAGGAUUAGAUACCCUGGUAGUCCACGCCGUAAACGAUGAGUGCUAAGUGUUAGGGGGUUUCCGCCCCUUAGUGCUGCAGCUAACGCAUUAAGCACUCCGCCUGGGGAGUACGACCGCAAGGUUGAAACUCAAAGGAAUUGACGGGGACCCGCACAAGCGGUGGAGCAUGUGGUUUAAUUCGAAGCAACGCGAAGAACCUUACCAAAUCUUGACAUCCUCUGACCCCUCUAGAGAUAGAGUUUUCCCCUUCGGGGGACAGAGUGACAGGUGGUGCAUGGUUGUCGUCAGCUCGUGUCGUGAGAUGUUGGGUUAAGUCCCGCAACGAGCGCAACCCUUAAGCUUAGUUGCCAUCAUUAAGUUGGGCACUCUAAGUUGACUGCCGGUGACAAACCGGAGGAAGGUGGGGAUGACGUCAAAUCAUCAUGCCCCUUAUGAUUUGGGCUACACACGUGCUACAAUGGACAAUACAAAGGGCAGCGAAACCGCGAGGUCAAGCAAAUCCCAUAAAGUUGUUCUCAGUUCGGAUUGUAGUCUGCAACUCGACUAUAUGAAGCUGGA